RNAcentral lists this unclassified non-coding RNA (355 nucleotides) under uncultured fungus. RNAcentral's name for it is "partial contains 5.8S ribosomal RNA and internal transcribed spacer 2". The stretch from base 1 to 133 matches the Rfam family "5.8S ribosomal RNA", at positions 22 to 154 of the family's 154-position model. Lineage: Eukaryota; Fungi. The record is from RNAcentral.
UGGCUCUCGCAUCGAUGAAGAACGCAGCGAAAUGCGAUAAGUAAUGUGAAUUGCAGAAUUCAGUGAAUCAUCGAAUCUUUGAACGCACCUUGCGCUCCUUGGUAUUCCGAGGAGCAUGCCUGUUUGAGUGUCAUGUAAUUAUCAACUCCCUUUCUUUGCUGAAAGGUGAGCUUGGAUUUGGGGACUUGCUGGUGAUUUCAUCAGCUUCCCUUGAAUGCAUUAGCUGGUCAUUGAUUUGCAGCAUAUAUGCGGUGUGAUAAUGUCGUCACUGUGUAGCUCAAGUCAUCUGGCUUCUAAUUGUCUUUGCGGACACUUUGAUCAAUUUGACCUCAAAUCAGGUAGGACUACCCGCUGA